AUUUAUUAUCCACUUUCCUUCGAUUUCUCUGGGAUCCCAUGAUCAGAACCAGGUUUCGUUUUCAUGGUACCACGCCAGGGAUAUUUCCUUCCCAACAAAAAAAAAUUAUUAAAAUCGGUUCAUAAACGACGAAGUUAUCCUAGCACAUACAUAAAAU
Molecule: long non-coding RNA, 157 nt
Organism: Melitaea cinxia (Glanville fritillary)
Lineage: Eukaryota; Metazoa; Arthropoda; Insecta; Lepidoptera; Nymphalidae
Exons: 3
Source: RefSeq, a predicted model, not a curated record